Mytilus californianus (California mussel) is the source of this 1312-nucleotide long non-coding RNA. RefSeq lists it as uncharacterized. Lineage: Eukaryota; Metazoa; Mollusca; Bivalvia; Mytilida; Mytilidae. The transcript has 3 exons. The record is from RefSeq and is a predicted model, not a curated record.
UUCUGACAUACACAUUACUUAAUAGUCUUACUGAUAUUUUAUUCAACAUUUUACGGAUAUAAAAAUAACAUUUUAUUUAAACUUUAUUCAAAAUCCCACAAACAACGUUUUGUGGAAUUAGCUCGUUUUUUUUCAGGAUAAGAUAUAGUACUACAUUUCAUCAAUAUCAUGACAAGCAAGAUACUAUGGUUGAAAUCCUUAAUUGAUAUCUUGAAGAUCCUUGAAGUCAGAUUUUAUUCCUUCUUAUAUUAAAAUUCAAAAGAGUCAACAUUAAAUUAAGCAAUAAUGUAUUAAUGAACAAUCACCUUUCUUUAAUGUUUAUUCAUUUCGGUCGUGUAUAUUUAAGAAAUUAAGAAAUGAAAACUGUAACUGUACUAAGUUCAAUUUUCGUAUCGUUUAUAUGCUUUACGGAAAACCGACCUUUUCCGGAAUCGACUUUUGUUUUAUCACCGGAAAUGAUUUUGAAAUUUGAAUUUCGAAACGAAGACAGGAUAUCAACAAAGAGGGUAGAGCCAAGAAAAUUGUUUGUUACGCGAUAUAUACUCACUUGGAGCUAAAAGAAAAGCCACAAAGGACAAGUUCAAUAUGCAGGUUUACAAUUUGGAAGUGGCACAGGUCCUUUGGAAUGUUUACAACCUUUCAGGAGAAUUUUUUUUUGAAAAGCAUGGCACAGCAAGAAAAAGAUAUAAGACACUACGAGACAUUCCAAGUGAUUUUGAAUAAGACAAUUGAUUGACUUUUUCAAUGUAUUCUUAAAUAAAUCAAAUAGUUGAUGUAAAAUGGUGUUUUGUUCUCAUCUCUUCAGCCAAUUAUCAAUGAUUAUUGACUUAAGAUGUAACCCUAUUAGAAGUGUAGCGUUUUAGUUUAGAAAGAGAAGUUGUAUUGAAAAAUCUGAAUUUGGGACACAAGUUUUAGUCAAUGUAACUUGAACUUAAAAAUGUGUAUUAUGUUUGCAUAAUGUCCAAUGGCAUAUAUGUCAUGCAUGUUCAGGUUGACAUAUGCAUGAUGUGUAUAAGAUAGGUAAUAAAAGUUGAGAGUGAAAAACUAAACAUUAUACCAUUGUGGUUGGAAUGUGAGCUUUCUUGCCCUGUCUGUCGUCUGUCCACCUAUAUUUGUCGGAUUUUGUCCAACAAAUAUUUUCAUCACUGUUUUUCCCAAAACUGCUGAUAAAGAUGAGUUCAUAUUUAAUGAGCUGCUUGAUAGUGAUGAACUGUGAUGUGUGAACAUUUUUGUAUCUGGCACCUGUUUCCUGUUUGCUUAUACAUUGUAUUUCAAAAUGUUGAAUGUUCUCAAAUUUUUCAUUACUUUAAUU